UGCUAGGUGGCGCUGUUAGUCAAAUGCGUCACUCGGGUGGGACAUCUGACAUGUCUGGGCGGGACGGUAUGAACUUCAUACCACAUUCAACGACAUGAAAAAGUCAUACACGUUUUUUUAUGUCAAAAGGGAAGGGAAUAGGUAGCUUACAGGUUGGAUCUGUGGCCACAUGUGAUCAAUCGGCAUGACAUCACAGCCAUAUGGGUAACAUGGGAGCAGCUGGCAGGUCACAACCUUCUCUGAAGGGGCAGCUGAUACUUCAGCCAGGUUCAGAGGGUAAAGCCUGGCAUAUGGAAACUCUUUGGUGUAGUUCAAAAGAUGUCCAGAAGGGGGCAUCAUACAUUGAUGGAAAUGCAGAUCUUUCACUGUCACUGGUGUCAAUAUUAGUAUACUGAUGAAGUGCAGUUACAGGAAUCCUCACAUUCCAUCAGAUUUGAUGGUUAUAGUUUCAAAUAUAUCCUCUCUUCCCACUGGACCUGGCCAUGGCAUAUAGAAGAUUCAAGUGAUGUUGAAAAUGUCCUUACAACUACAACAAAAUGGCCUGUCAAAUAUUCCAGACCUACACUUAAUAGACUAAGGCCUAGGAAAAAAAUGUUGUGUUUCUUGUUUCCCGACCGACCCUAGAAAAACCUGCCAACCCUAGACUUU
Long non-coding RNA from Branchiostoma belcheri (Belcher's lancelet), 648 nucleotides. RefSeq lists it as uncharacterized. Lineage: Eukaryota; Metazoa; Chordata; Leptocardii; Amphioxiformes; Branchiostomatidae. The transcript is spliced from 3 exons. The record is from RefSeq and is a predicted model, not a curated record.